GACGAACGCUGGCGGCGUGCUUAACACAUGCAAGUCGAGCGGAAAGGCCACUUCGGUGGUACUCGAGCGGCGAACGGGUGAGUAACACGUGAGUAAUCUGCCCCUGGCUUUGGGAUAGCCACCGGAAACGGUGAUUAAUACCGGAUACGACCACUUCUCGCAUGGGAUGGUGGUGGAAAGUUUUUUCGGCCAGGGAUGUGCUCGCGGCCUAUCAGCUUGAUGGUGGGGUAAUGGCUCACCAUGGCUUCGACGGGUAGCCGGCCUGAGAGGGUGACCGGUCACACUGGGACUGAGACACGGCCCGGACUCCAACGGGAGGCAGCAGUGGGGAAUAUUGGUCAAUGGGCGGAAGCCUGAUCCAGCAACGCCGCGUGAGGGAUGACGGCCUUCGGGUUGUAAACCUCUUACAGCAGGGACGAAGCGCAAGUGACGGUACCUGCAGAAGAAGCACCGGCCAACUACGUGCCAGCAGCCGCCGUAA
RNAcentral lists this ribosomal RNA (481 nucleotides) under uncultured bacterium. RNAcentral's name for it is "partial 16S ribosomal RNA". It matches the Rfam family "Bacterial small subunit ribosomal RNA", at positions 28 to 523 of the family's 1533-position model. The record is from RNAcentral.